This 308-nucleotide ribosomal RNA is filed under the name uncultured bacterium. RNAcentral's name for it is "partial 16S ribosomal RNA". It matches the Rfam family "Bacterial small subunit ribosomal RNA", at positions 505 to 807 of the family's 1533-position model. The record is from RNAcentral.
GAGACAGCAGCCGCCGCGGGAAUACGAAGGGGGCUAGCGUUGCUCGGAAUGACUGGGCGUAAAGGGCGCGUAGGCGGCAUAUGCAGUCAGGCGUGAAAUUCCUGGGCUUAACCUGGGGGCUGCGUUUGAUACGUAUAGGCUAGAGUGGGGAAGAGGGUUGUGGAAUUCCCAGUGUAGGGGUGAAAUUCGUAGAUAUUGGGAAGAACACCGGUGGCGAAGGCGGCAACCUGGUCCUUGACUGACGCUGAGGCGCGAAAGCGUGGGGAGCAAACAGGAUUAGAUACCCCCGUAGUCCCUGUCUCUUAUAC